CAAUGAAAAGCCAAAAUAGAGGCAUUUAACUGUUAAUUAAAUAAUUGAAAUUUUUUUGUUUCUUCAUUGA
Molecule: transfer RNA, 70 nt
Filed under: Bolitaena pygmaea
Lineage: Eukaryota; Metazoa; Mollusca; Cephalopoda; Octopoda; Bolitaenidae
Description: tRNA-Asn
Source: RNAcentral